RNAcentral lists this ribosomal RNA (253 nucleotides) under uncultured bacterium. RNAcentral describes it as "partial 16S ribosomal RNA". It matches the Rfam family "Bacterial small subunit ribosomal RNA", at positions 524 to 776 of the family's 1533-position model. The record is from RNAcentral.
UACGUAGGUGGCAAGCGUUGUCCGGAUUUAUUGGGCGUAAAGCGCGCGCAGGCGGUUUCUUAAGUCUGAUGUGAAAGGCCUCGGCUUAACCGAGGAGGGUCAUUGGAAACUGGGAGACUUGAGUGCAGAAGAGGAAAGUGGAAUUCCAAGUGUAGCGGUGAAAUGCGUAGAGAUUUGGAGGAACACCAGUGGCGAAGGCGACUUUCUGGUCUGUAACUGACGCUGAGGCGCGAAAGCGUGGGGAGCAAACAGG